This 3023-nucleotide ribosomal RNA is filed under the name Ignavibacteriota bacterium. Its description in RNAcentral is "bacterial LSU rRNA". It matches the Rfam family "Bacterial large subunit ribosomal RNA". Lineage: Bacteria; Pseudomonadati; Ignavibacteriota. The record is from RNAcentral.
UUAAGUUACAAAGAGUAUACGGUGGAUGCCUUGGCACCAGAAGGCGAAGAAGGACGUGGUAACCUGCGAUAAGCGUCGGAUAGGUGGAAACAACCUGUGACCCGGCGAUCUCCGAAUGGGGCAACCCUCUCAGGGUAAUGCCUGAGAACUCCAUACUGAAUCCAUAGGUAUGGCAGAGCCAACGUGGGGAAGUGAAAUAUCUCAGUACCCAUAGGAAAAGAAAGUAAAAACGAUUUCCUCAGUAGCGACGAGCGAACGGGAAAAUAGCCCAAACCUUAUAACACACUAAAGGCUGCAACCGUUGUGUUAGAGGUGUAGCGGGGCGCUUACAGACCAAAUUGCAGAUAGGUCGGAGAGUUACAAAUCAUAUUGUUAGUCGAAUCGCUUGGAAAGGCGAACCAAAGAAGGUGAAAGUCCUGUAGACAAAAACAAUAUGACUCUCUGGUAGGCGUACCCAAGUACCACGGAAUAAGUGGAAGUCUGUGGGAAUCUGCGGGAACCAUCCUGUAAGGCUAAAUACUAUCUGGUGACCGAUAGUGAACAAGUACCGUGAGGGAAAGGUGAAAAGCACUCCUAACCGGAGGGUGAAAUAGUACCUGAAACCGUAUACUUACAAACGGUCGGAGUCUUUAUGAGAUUGCUUGCAAUUUCAUAGGGAUGACGGCGUGCCUUUUGCUUAAUGAGCCUACGAGUUACGCGUACGUAGCAAGGUUAAUCCGCUCAGCGGAGAAGCCGUAGCGAAAGCGAGUCUGAAAAGGGCGUUAAGUUACGUGCGGUAGACGCGAAACCCGGUGAUCUAUCCUUGGCCAGGAUGAAGUGAGGGUAAAACCUCAUGGAGGUCCGAACCGGUGUGGGUUGAAAACUACUCGGAUGAGCUGAGGAUAGGAGUGAAAAGCUAAUCGAACUGGGUGAUAGCUCGUACUCCCCGAAAUAGCUUUAGGGCUAGCCUCGGGUAAUAAUAUCACGGAGGUAGAGCACUGAUUGGGCUAGGGUCGUCACAACGAUACCAAACCCAGACAAACUCCGAAUUCCGUAGAUAUGUUUCCCGGGAGUCAGGCGACGACGGAUAAGCGCCGACGCCGAGAGGAGAACAAUCCAGAUCACCAGCUAAGGUCCCAAAAUUGAAGUUAACAUAUAAAGGAUGUUAAGUUGCAUAGACAACUAGGAGGUUGGCUUAGAAGCAGCCAUUCCUUUAAAGAGUGCGUAAUAGCUCACUAGUCAAGCGACUCAGCGUCGAUAAUUCUCGGGAAUUAAACUUCAUACCGAAGCUGUGAAUUCCGCCACUGGCGGAGUGGUAGGGGAGCAUUCCAUUUAGCGACUGCGGUGAACGCAGAUCGUCGCAAGACGAUGAAGGUGUGCAGCGAUGCAUGCUGGAGCAAAUGGAAACGCAGAUGUAGGCAUGAGUAACGAUAAGGCAGAUGAAAAAUCUGCCCACCGAAAAUCUAAGGUUUCCUGAGCAACGUUAAUCGUCUCAGGGUUAGUCGGAUCCUAAGCUGAGGCCGAAAGGCGUAGGCGAUGGAAAACGGGUUUAAUAUUCCCGUACCUGUUUACAAUCGUUUGACUGUAAGGGGUGACGCAGGAGUGAAAGGUCAGCCACCUGUUGGCUUAGGUGGUCUAAGCAUGUAGAGGUGUUAUGUAGGCAAAUCCGCAUAACAGCUAUCCUUGAAAUGCGAACGGGAUCCCGCAAGGGAACAAACUGACCCUAAACAAACUGCCAAGAAAAACCUCGUACAGGAGAUUGUAAGCAGACCGUACCGUAAACCGACACAGGUAGAUGAGGAGAAAAUCCUAAGGUGCUCGAGUGAGCCAUGGUCAAGGAACUCGGCAAAUUGACCGCGUAACUUCGGGAUAAGCGGUGCCCACCGCAAGGUGGGUCGCAGUGAAAUGGGCCAAGCGACUGUUUAACAAAAACACAUCACUCUGCUAACACGUCAAGUGGACGUAUAGGGUGUGACACCUGCCCGGUGCUGGAAGGUUAAGGAAGCGGGUCAUCUGCCGCAAGGUGGAGAAGCUCGCGACCGAAGCCCCAGUAAACGGCGGCCGUAACUAUAACGGUCCUAAGGUAGCGAAAUUCCUUGUCGGGUAAGUUCCGACCUGCACGAAUGGUGUAACGACUUGGUCACUGUCUCGACCAUGGGCUCGGUGAAAUUGUGGUACCGGUGAAGACGCCGGUUACCCGCAUAUGGACGGAAAGACCCCGUGAAGCUUUACUAUACCCUAACAUUGGGUUCGGACAAAGCAUGUGUAGAAUAGGUGGGAGACUUUGAAGCGGGUGCGCUAGCAUCCGUGGAGUCAACAGUGAAAUACCACCCUUGUUCUGUUUGAAUUCUAACCUCGUACCUUGAAUCAGGUACAGGAACAGUGUUAGGCGGGUAGUUUGACUGGGGCGGUCGCCUCCUAAAUUGUAACGGAGGCUCUCAAAGGUUCCCUCAGCAUGGUUGGUAAUCAUGCGUCGAGUGUAAAGGCAUAAGGGAGCUUAACUGUGAGACCUACAAGUCGAGCAGAUGCGAAAGCAGGACUUAGUGAUCCGAUGGUUGUGUGUGGAAAUGCCAUCGCUCAAAGGAUAAAAGCUACUCCGGGGAUAACAGGCUGAUCUCGCCCAAGAGUUCAUAUCGACGGCGAGGUUUGGCACCUCGAUGUCGGCUCAUCGCAUCCUGGGGCUGGAGAAGGUCCCAAGGGUUUGGCUGUUCGCCAAUUAAAGCGGUACGUGAGCUGGGUUCAGAACGUCGUGAGACAGUUCGGUCCCUAUCCUAUGCGGGCGCAGGAUAUUUGAGGGGAGUCGCUCCUAGUACGAGAGGACCAGAGUGAACGGACCUACGGUGUACCUGUUGUCGCGCCAGCGGCAAACGCAGGGUAGCCACGUCCGGUCGGGAUAAGCGCUGAAGGCAUCUAAGCGCGAAACCCACCCCAAGAUUAGAUAUCCCAAUCAGACUCCAAGGAGAUUACUUGGUCGAUAGGCCGCAGAUGUAAGUACAGUAAUGUAUUUAGUCGAGCGGUACUAAUCAGUCGAUCGACUUAACCAA